GCAGCUCAAAGAUGGCAGGUGAAGAAAACAGUGAGUUGACAAAGGUCUGGUCCCUGUCCUCACGGAGCCCACAGACCAGCGAGGCAAAAGUGGGGCCAGAUGUGGUCUGAGGACUGAAUUAUGUUCAAAUUAUGUGGGAACCCAGAGACCUUUCUCUUAAGCUGCUUUUGUGUUUCCAUGGAACUUUCCCUUGAUAUUCCACCUGUCAGUUGAGUGAGGUGCUGUCUUCCUGAGGACUUUCAGGAUGCCUUGUCAUAUCUCACUGGAGGCUGACCAUGGCUCCCGGUUGUGGAAUUGAGCUGGCCAGGGAAGAGGCAGAGAGAUGUAGGAGUAUAAUUGCAAGAUCUUCGGGUAAACGUGUGUUCAGUUUCUGAGAAACGGUUUCCAGGAUGGGCGAUCCAGACGUCGUCCCGGCCAGCAACAUGUGAGAGCUUCUGGGCUUUACAUCUUCACCAAUCUGCAGUGUUGCCAGUCUUUUAAAUUUCAACUAUUCUGGUGGUUAUGAGUGAGACCAAGCAGGACCAUCCGGAUACAGUCGGAGAGAUGACGCUGAUUCAAAGCUGUGGCUGCGGGUGCCUUGUGAGGGUCAUCAAUUUCCAGUUCAGUCUUACUCCCUCCCAGACAUCUUGGACUCCACUUCAACUGGAAAUGUUUGCUGGGCACCUUCUUCCUUGGCUUGUUCGGUCUCCGUUUCUGUCCUCCUCUCUCAUGAGAGUGCCCGAAGUUCUGCUGAGCUGCUCAGCUUGGAGUCCGUGUUUGAUUCUGGAAUUGGCUGCGGCCUUGCAAGGAACGUGACCCUAAGCGUUGGACUCACCCUGCACAUUCCCGGUGCUUUGGUUGUUAUCCUCUGCCUGCAAACAUGUUUUGUUUUUG
Molecule: long non-coding RNA, 873 nt
Organism: Suricata suricatta (meerkat)
Lineage: Eukaryota; Metazoa; Chordata; Mammalia; Carnivora; Herpestidae
Exons: 3
Source: RefSeq, a predicted model, not a curated record